CCUGAGAAACCCAAAAGAUCGAAUGGGGAGAUUCAUCGUCAGCUCAUUUUGUAUAUGUAUCAGUUAUGAUGUGGGUUACUACUUGUAGUAUUGCUUGCACAUUCUAAUACAUUUAGUUGCAAGAUGUUGUCGGCGUGCACUUCUCCCCUAGUAGGACGUCGCGACCCGUUGGGUGUCGGUCUACGGCCCGAGUGGUUGUCUUUAAUAUUUUAUUAUAUUAAAGUCCCUUGGUGUUUUCUGACCGGCUACUCGGCGGUACACGUACGGUAUUAAGCCGCAAUUUUAUUUGCGUCCAUUCCCGUCGCAAGCGAGGCCAAUUUCUGAUAGUACGGACCUAGUGCCGUCGUUGGUAUUGGCCAGCUGUUGGCUGUUACGGUGUUCUAGGACUGGCUUAAAUUGUGAUUACCGGUCGGCGAUGCUACUGCUUUGGGUACUUUCAGG
This 441-nucleotide ribosomal RNA is filed under the name Triraphis tricolor. RNAcentral's name for it is "eukaryotic LSU rRNA". Lineage: Eukaryota; Metazoa; Arthropoda; Insecta; Hymenoptera; Braconidae. The record is from RNAcentral.